CAGCCUCUGUGUGCAGGAAAUCAUAAUUUUUUUGCUAGCCUCGGCCCUCAGCCUGAGGGUCCCCGUUUCUUAGACUCCAGCACCGCGGCUGC
RNAcentral lists this long non-coding RNA (92 nucleotides) under Ictidomys tridecemlineatus (thirteen-lined ground squirrel). RNAcentral describes it as "lncRNA (ENSSTOG00000031829.1)". Lineage: Eukaryota; Metazoa; Chordata; Mammalia; Rodentia; Sciuridae. The record is from RNAcentral.